This 154-nucleotide ribosomal RNA is filed under the name uncultured bacterium. RNAcentral describes it as "partial 16S ribosomal RNA". It matches the Rfam family "Bacterial small subunit ribosomal RNA", at positions 355 to 507 of the family's 1533-position model. The record is from RNAcentral.
UAAGGAAUAUUGGUCAAUGGACGCAAGUCUGACCCAGCCAUGCCGCGUGAGGAUGAAGGUCCUCUGGAUUGUAAACUUCUUUUAUCUGGGACGAAAUCACUUUUUUCUAAGAGUGUUGACGGUACCAGAGGAAUAAGCACCGGCUAACUCCAUG